GACGAACCGUGCGAACGUUGUUCGGAAUCACUGGGCUUAAAGGGCGCGUAGGCGGCAUAGCAAGUCCGGGGUGAAAGCCCCCGGCUCAACCGGGGAAGUGCCUUGGAAACUGCUGUGCUCGAGGGAGGUAGGGGUCGAGGGAACUUCUGGUGGAGCGGUGAAAUGCGUUGAUAUCAGAAGGAACGCCGGUAGCGAAAGCGCUCGACUGGACCUUUUCUGACGCUGAGGCGCGAAAGCUAGGGGAGCAAACGGG
RNAcentral lists this ribosomal RNA (253 nucleotides) under uncultured bacterium. Its description in RNAcentral is "partial 16S ribosomal RNA". It matches the Rfam family "Bacterial small subunit ribosomal RNA", at positions 524 to 776 of the family's 1533-position model. The record is from RNAcentral.